AUGUUUAUUAAGCCAAACCGACAUUAUUUUUUUCAUCUAAAACGUUUUUUAUGUGUUUUUUUUCUCAUCGCGUUUAGGCGUUGUGUAUCAGAUCGCAACUGCUAAUAAUUUCGUCGUCUGAGGCGGACUGUUAUGGAGGUACCAAAUCUUCAGUGAUGAUGAAUGCGUUCACGAAUCUACGAGCCGGUGAUUGGCGGUAUCCAGAUCAUCGUCGUACUGUUAGCUUACCUAAGCUACCAAAAUUAGUGACAGCGUAAAAUUUGUGCUGUGAGGAUUACAGCUGACUCUCACAACCGUCCGGAAGUCGCAGUAAUUUGGUAACAAAAAGAUCAUCACCACCGCACGAAGCGCAGCAUAUUGAAGCAAGCCCAAGCGGAUAGCAACCACCUGCAGCAAACGUACGCCGAACUAAUGGACGUGGUAGACGCGUUAUGAUUGCAAGACGAUAUUUGCGCUCUGAAAACGCUAGCACAGAUGUUUGAGCCACAGAGGUGACGUUCCGAGAGUGUAAAAACUUGCCGUGCCCACAGUUUCAGAUAAGCCGUUCUCAUCAAUGCCAUAUUAUGUACCGUCGGUUAGUUACACUUCAUAACGAAGGACAAUCACAUCUGGUUAACGGAAUGCUGCCAAAACGAUGAAGCUGGCUUAGCCCUCGAUGACGACGCAACUCCUGCACGUUCGUCGUCAUACUUUCAUUUCAACUGGAGGCAUGUUUGUUUUAGGCGGCUACAACAUGUUGUUUGAACAUGUUGAAUAGAACAAACAUGUUGAUAAUGUUUAAUUUAAUUACAGGUGAAUGCUGGAAAUCUCUGUGAUAACCGUUUUCGUGCGCUGAAUAAGGUUUGUAUGAAAAAUAGUGUAUUUUUAGAAUAUUUUAUUUUUCAAUAAAGUAACGGUA
Molecule: long non-coding RNA, 898 nt
Organism: Anopheles merus
Lineage: Eukaryota; Metazoa; Arthropoda; Insecta; Diptera; Culicidae
Exons: 4
Source: RefSeq, a predicted model, not a curated record